This 1462-nucleotide long non-coding RNA is filed under the name Capsicum annuum. Its description in RNAcentral is "long non-coding RNA (CANN_LNC013528)". The record is from RNAcentral. Lineage: Eukaryota; Viridiplantae; Streptophyta; Magnoliopsida; Solanales; Solanaceae.
UACAUACCAUUUUAUUAACGGUAGGGCCAUAUGUGUACCCAUAGUAUGACGGAGGGUAUAUACUUAUCACUUAUCAUAGUUCGAGGGUAUAUUUGUCCCUUUUCCGAUCUAAAUUUUUAAAUAUUAAGUUAAUCUACUUUAAGUUAGGCCAAGAUGUUAGUCAAAUUAAUUCUCGUGAAGUGAAAUAGGCCAAGUUAAAAAGGGGUGGAGGGAGUAUAUAUGAAGGGGAGCUGUGACGUAACCUGUAAGGUUAUUGUCAUGUGACUAGGAGGUUACGGGUUCAAGUUGUGUAAACAACCUCUUAAAGAAAUGCAAUGCAGGAUAAGAUUGUGUACAAUAGACCUUUGUGGUCCGGACUUUUCCGGACUCCAUACAAAGUGGGAGCUUUAGUGCAUUUGUGUGUGUGUGUGUGUGUGUAUAUAUAUAUGUAUGUAUGUAUUUUGCAUCAUUUUGUGUAAAUGGUGAAUGUUAAUGUUAGUAGCUAAAUAAUUAUUGCUAUGAGGCAAAUUGAGUUUUAAGAGUCAGUGGGUUUUAGAGGCGGAGUCAGUAUUUCAACUUUUAUGUGUUUUGGAUUUUAAAUGGCGAUUUCAGUUGAUAGUAGCCCAUUUUUAUUUGCCUUGGUGAUGGAUGUUUUGACACGAUGUAUACAAGGGGAGGUGCAUUGGUUGGUGUAUGUUAUUUGCUGUGAUGUCAAUUUCGUAAAUUCACUCAUUCCACCUCAAUCAUCAUGCAUUGUUGAUUCUUUUGAAUCAAAGCUGUUAAAUAUGGACUUGCGAUCCAUCGGUGGAAAAUCAUUGCCUGAAUUUUCACUUCUUCAUAAAUCUCCUCAUAUUCAUGGCCCUAAAGUUCUUCAAGUAAUUAUCUUCCCUUCUGAAGAUAUAUUUUUUAAUCAUAUUAACAUGAUAAUGAUUGCAACUUAUAAUACUUUUCAUAUAGUUUAUGAUAUCUAAAUUCGGAAAAGUGAUAUAUAUACUCCCGAACUAUGAUAAAUGGUACGUAUAUACCCUCCGUCAUACUUUGGGUAUACAUAUGCCCCUAUCGUUAGUGUGAGGGGCACAUACAUACCAUUUUAUUAACGGUAGGGCCAUAUGUGUACCCAUAGUAUGACGGAGGGUAUAUACUUAUCACUUAUCAUAGUUCGAGGGUAUAUUUGUCCCUUUUCCGAUCUAAAUUUUUAAAUAUUAAGUUAAUCUACUUUAAGUUAGGCCAAGAUGUUAGUCAAAUUAAUUCUCGUGAAGUGAAAUAGGCCAAGUUAAAAAGGGGUGGAGGGAGUAUAUAUGAAGGGGAGCUGUGACGUAACCUGUAAGGUUAUUGUCAUGUGACUAGGAGGUUACGGGUUCAAGUUGUGUAAACAACCUCUUAAAGAAAUGCAAUGCAGGAUAAGAUUGUGUACAAUAGACCUUUGUGGUCCGGACUUUUCCGGACUCCAUACAAAGUGGGAGCUUUAGUGCAUUUGUGUGUG